This 461-nucleotide ribosomal RNA is filed under the name uncultured bacterium. Its description in RNAcentral is "partial 16S ribosomal RNA". It matches the Rfam family "Bacterial small subunit ribosomal RNA", at positions 338 to 795 of the family's 1533-position model. The record is from RNAcentral.
CCUACGGGAGGCAGCAGUGAGGAAUAUUGGUCAAUGGGCUUACGCCUGAACCAGCCAAGUCGCGUGAGGGAAGACUGCCCUAUGGGUUGUAAACCUCUUUUGUCAGGGAGCAACGCCGGCUACGUGUAGCCGGACUGAGAGUACCUGAAGAAAAAGCAUCGGCUAACUCCGUGCCAGCAGCCGCGGUCAUACGGCGGAUGCUAGCGUUAGCAGGAUUUCUUGGGUUUAAAGGGAGCGUAGGCGGGUUGUUAAUGCAGUUGUGAAAGUCUGCGGCGCAACCGUAAAAUUGCAGUUGAUAAUGGCAUCCGUGAGUACAGUAGAGGUAGGAGGAAUUCGUGGUGUAGCGGUGAAAUGCUUAGAUAGCACGAAGAACACCGAUUGCGAAGGCAGCCUGCUGGACUGUAACUGACGCUGAUGCUCGAAAGUGGGGGUAUCAAACAGGAUUAGAUACCCGAGUAGUC